AAAUUGAAGAGUUUGAUCAUGGCUCAGAUUGAACGCUGGCGGCAGGCCUAACACAUGCAAGUCGAACGGUAACAGGAAACAGCUUGCUGUUUCGCUGACGAGUGGCGGACGGGUGAGUAAUGUCUGGGAAACUGCCUGAUGGAGGGGGGAUAACUACUGGAAACGGUAGCUAAUACCGCAUAACGUCGCAAGACCAAAGAGGGGGACCUUCGGGCCUCUUGCCAUCGGAUGUGCCCAGAUGGGAUUAGCUAGU
RNAcentral lists this ribosomal RNA (253 nucleotides) under Escherichia coli. RNAcentral's name for it is "partial 16S ribosomal RNA". It matches the Rfam family "Bacterial small subunit ribosomal RNA", at positions 1 to 249 of the family's 1533-position model. The record is from RNAcentral. Lineage: Bacteria; Pseudomonadati; Pseudomonadota; Gammaproteobacteria; Enterobacterales; Enterobacteriaceae.